Molecule: transfer RNA, 69 nt
Filed under: Rattus norvegicus (Norway rat)
Lineage: Eukaryota; Metazoa; Chordata; Mammalia; Rodentia; Muridae
Rfam family: tRNA
About the family: Transfer RNA (tRNA) molecules are approximately 80 nucleotides in length.
Source: Rfam by way of RNAcentral
GGGGAUUUAGCUCAGUGGUAGAGUGCUUGCCUAACAAGCACAAGGUCCUGGGUUCGGUCCCCAGCUCCA